UACGGAGGGUGCAAGCGUUACUCGGAAUCACUGGGCGUAAAGCGCGCGCAGGCGGCCAUUUAAGUUGGAUGUGAAAGCCUACGGCUCAACCGUAGAACUGCAUCCAAAACUAUUUGGCUAGAGUGUGGGAGAGGAAGAUGGAAUUAGUUGUGUAGGGGUAAAAUCCGUAGAGAUAACUAGGAAUACCAAAAGCGAAGGCAAUCUUCUGGAACACUACUGACGCUGAGGCGCGAAAGCGUGGGGAGCAAACGGGAUUAGAUACCCUAGUAGUCC
Molecule: ribosomal RNA, 273 nt
Filed under: uncultured bacterium
Lineage: Bacteria
Description: partial 16S ribosomal RNA
Rfam family: Bacterial small subunit ribosomal RNA
Source: RNAcentral